CACACCCUCCUUGUUUCAUAAAGUGUUGCCACUUUUGUGGCUACCUGUCUCAUUACGUGAGCUCGGCCUCAACUUUUCAUCAAGAAUUAUUUAUUAUAAUAUUGUUAUUAAUUUGAGAAAUUAUUUUAUAGAUUCUUCUCACCAUUUUAUUUAUAGUCUUUUUCAAUUAUUUUAUAAUAUUCUAAUAACAUUUUUUCAUGUUAUUGAUACAUAAUUUUGACAGUUUUUUACCUUUAACUCUAAACCUCGAACCUCAAACUCAAACUCAAACUCAAAAUUUAAACCCUAAACUCAAACCCAAACUUAGGGUUUAAGGUUUAGAGUUCGAGAUUUUAGUUUCAAGAUUCAAGGUUUCAAGUUUGAGGUUAUGGGUUUAAGGUUCCCGGUUCAAGGUAACAAAAUUCCCAAAUUAUGUAUUAAUGACAUGAAAAAAAAUUAUUGAAAUGUCUAAUUCUAAGCAAUGUAUAGACCUAAUCAUGGGUCGGGCCACCCGGCCUAGCCCGAAGGCCCUCCCAAAAUGUGGGAGGAUUUUGGCAAAAAUAUAGGCCCAAAAAAUGGGCUUGGAUAAAAAAUAAGGCCUAUUUAAAAAACGGG
This 594-nucleotide long non-coding RNA is filed under the name Gossypium barbadense (sea-island cotton). RNAcentral's name for it is "long non-coding RNA (GBAR_LNC015107)". Lineage: Eukaryota; Viridiplantae; Streptophyta; Magnoliopsida; Malvales; Malvaceae. The record is from RNAcentral.